RNAcentral lists this ribosomal RNA (253 nucleotides) under uncultured bacterium. Its description in RNAcentral is "partial 16S ribosomal RNA". It matches the Rfam family "Bacterial small subunit ribosomal RNA", at positions 524 to 776 of the family's 1533-position model. The record is from RNAcentral.
GACGAAGGUGGCAACCGUUGCUCGGAAUCACUGGGCAUAAAGCGCACGUAGGUGGCUAAGUAAGUCGGUGGUGAAAUACCUUGGCUCAACCAAGGAAGUGCCAUCGAUACUGCCAUGCUUGAGGACGGGAGGGGUGAGUGGAACUCUUGGUGUAGCGGUGAAAUGCGUAGAUAUCAAGAGGAACGCCGGUGGCGAAAGCGACUCACUGGACCGCUCCUGACACUGAGGUGCGAGAGCUAGGGGAGCAAACAGG